RNAcentral lists this ribosomal RNA (555 nucleotides) under uncultured Lachnospiraceae bacterium. RNAcentral's name for it is "bacterial SSU rRNA". It matches the Rfam family "Bacterial small subunit ribosomal RNA", at positions 73 to 640 of the family's 1533-position model. Lineage: Bacteria; Bacillati; Bacillota; Clostridia; Lachnospirales; Lachnospiraceae. The record is from RNAcentral.
UUCUUCGGAUGAAGAGGAUUGUGACUGAGCGGCGGACGGGUGAGUAACGCGUGGGUAACCUGCCUCAUACAGGGGGAUAACAGUUAGAAAUGACUGCUAAUACCGCAUAAGACCACAGCACCGCAUGGUGCGGGGGUAAAAACUCCGGUGGUAUGAGAUGGACCCGCGUCUGAUUAGCUAGUUGGUAAGGUAACGGCUUACCAAGGCGACGAUCAGUAGCCGACCUGAGAGGGUGACCGGCCACAUUGGGACUGAGACACGGCCCAAACUCCUACGGGAGGCAGCAGUGGGGAAUAUUGCACAAUGGGGGAAACCCUGAUGCAGCGACGCCGCGUGAGCGAAGAAGUAUUUCGGUAUGUAAAGCUCUAUCAGCAGGGAAGAAAAUGACGGUAGCUGACUAAGAAGCACCGGCUAAAUACGUGCCAGCAGCCGCGGUAAUACGUAUGGUGCAAGCGUUAUCCGGAUUUACUGGGUGUAAAGGGAGCGUAGACGGAUGGGCAAGUCUGAUGUGAAAACCCGGGGCUCAACCCCGGGACUGCAUUGGAAACUGUUCAU